Molecule: non-coding RNA, 94 nt
Organism: Paxillus rubicundulus Ve08.2h10
Lineage: Eukaryota; Fungi; Basidiomycota; Agaricomycetes; Boletales; Paxillaceae
Source: Rfam
GGCUUUGUAGUGUAGUGGUUAUCACUUGAGAUUCUGAUUCGGAUACAAUCAUUCCAGUAUUCUCAAAACCCAGGUUCGAACCCUGGCAAGGCCU